This 253-nucleotide ribosomal RNA is filed under the name uncultured bacterium. RNAcentral's name for it is "partial 16S ribosomal RNA". It matches the Rfam family "Bacterial small subunit ribosomal RNA", at positions 524 to 776 of the family's 1533-position model. The record is from RNAcentral.
UACGGGGGGGGCAAGCGUUGUUCGGAAUUACUGGGCGUAAAGGGCGCGUAGGCGGCCUGCUAAGUCGGACGUGAAAUCCCUCGGCUCAACCGGGGAACUGCGUCCGAUACUGGUGGGCUCGAAUCCGGGAGAGGGAUGUGGAAUUCCAGGUGUAGCGGUGAAAUGCGUAGAUAUCUGGAGGAACACCGGUGGCGAAGGCGGCAUCCUGGACCGGUACUGACGCUGAGGUGCGAAAGCGUGGGGAGCAAACAGG